Molecule: ribosomal RNA, 403 nt
Filed under: uncultured bacterium
Lineage: Bacteria
Description: bacterial SSU rRNA
Rfam family: Bacterial small subunit ribosomal RNA
Source: RNAcentral
UUUUGGACAAUGGGCGAAAGCCUGAUCCAGCAAUGCCGCGUGCAGGAAGAAGGCCUUCGGGUUGUAAACUGCUUUUGUACGGAACGAAACGGUCUGCCCUAAUACGGCGGGCUAAUGACGGUACCGUAAGAAUAAGCACCGGCUAACUACGUGCCAGCAGCCGCGGCAAUACGUAGGGUGCGAGCGUUAAUCGGAAUUACUGGGCGUAAAGCGUGCGCAGGCGGUUAUGUAAGACAAUUGUGAAAUCCCCGGGCUCAACCUGGGAAUUGCAUCUGUGACUGCAUAGCUAGAGUACGGUAGAGGGGGAUGGAAUUCCGCGUGUAGCAGUGAAAUGCGUAGAUAUGCGGAGGAACACCGAUGGCGAAGGCAAUCCCCUGACCUGUACUGACGCUCAUGCACGAAA